Molecule: non-coding RNA, 212 nt
Filed under: Chondromyces apiculatus
Lineage: Bacteria; Pseudomonadati; Myxococcota; Polyangiales; Polyangiaceae
Source: RNAcentral
GUACGAAAUGCGCGUGCUGGUGCCUGUGCCCUUGCGCAGGCAUAAUAGGGAACCCGGUGUGAUUCCGGGGCUGCCCAGCAGCGGUAAGUGAGAACGAAACUCGUCAACGACACUGGUUCCCUCGGGGAGCUGGGAAGGGACGAGCGGUAGGAAGCCGGCCCCGCGCCGGAAUGCUCGCGAGCCCGAAGACCUGCCAGCGCCCGUACGCGAGA